GAUGAACGCUAGCGGGAGGCUUAAUACAUGCAAGUCGAACGGUAACAGGCGUAGCAAUACGUGCUGACGAGUGGCGCACGGGUGAGGAACACGUACGCAAUCUGCCUCUGACUGGGGGAUAGCUCCGGGAAACUGGGAUUAAUACCCCGUAACAUUACGGAAGGGCAUCCUUCUGUGAUUAAACCUCCGGGGGUCAGAGAUGAGCGUGCGUCUGAUUAGGUAGUUGGUAGGGUAACGGCCUACCAAGCCAACGAUCAGUAGCUGGCGUGAGAGCGCGACCAGCCACACGGGAACUGAGACACGGUCCCGACUCCUACGGGAGGCAGCAGUAGGGAAUAUUGGACAAUGGCUGAAAAGCUGAUCCAGCCAUCCCGCGUGAAGGCAGAAGGUCCUAUGGAUUGUAAACUUCUUUUCUCUGGGAAGAAAAGGCGGGUUUCUACCUGCUCUGACGGUCCCAGAGGAAUAAGCACCGGCUAACUCCGUGCCAGCAGCCGCGGUAAUACGGGA
RNAcentral lists this ribosomal RNA (507 nucleotides) under uncultured bacterium. RNAcentral describes it as "bacterial SSU rRNA". It matches the Rfam family "Bacterial small subunit ribosomal RNA", at positions 28 to 530 of the family's 1533-position model. The record is from RNAcentral.